Molecule: ribosomal RNA, 482 nt
Filed under: uncultured bacterium
Lineage: Bacteria
Description: bacterial SSU rRNA
Rfam family: Bacterial small subunit ribosomal RNA
Source: RNAcentral
GAUGAACGCUAGCGAUAGGCCUAACACAUGCAAGUCGAGGGGCAUCACAUGAAGUAGCAAUACGGAUGGUGGCGACCGGCGCACGGGUGAGUAACACGUAUGCAACCUGCCUUCAACAAGGGGAUAACCCGUUGAAAGACGGACUAAUACCCUAUAACACAGGGGUCCCGCAUGGGAAUAUUUGUUAAAGGACAACCGGUUGAAGAUGGGCAUGCGUUCCAUUAGCUAGUUGGCGGGGUAACGGCCCACCAAGGCAACGAUGGAUAGGGGAACUGAGAGGUUUAUCCCCCACACUGGUACUGAGACACGGACCAGACUCCUACGGGAGCAGCAGUGAGGAAUAUUGGUCAAUGGACGCAAGUCUGAACCAGCCACGUCGCGUGAAGGAAGACGGCCCUACGGGUUGUAAACUUCUUUUAACGGGAAUAAAGUGCCCCACGCGUGGGGUUUUGCAUGUACCGUAUGAAUAAGGAUCGGCUAAC